Molecule: long non-coding RNA, 495 nt
Organism: Neofelis nebulosa (Clouded leopard)
Lineage: Eukaryota; Metazoa; Chordata; Mammalia; Carnivora; Felidae
Exons: 2
Source: RefSeq, a predicted model, not a curated record
GGCGCGGGAGGGAAGCCCGGACGCCUACUGCACCUUCUCCUGGGAGUCUCCGCCCUGAAAACGGGAGUUGGUGGCUUGCGGCUUCUGAGAGAUCGGAAUCACCACUGGAGGGAAAGGAAGAAGGAACCGACCAGAAAAGCAGGACCGGGACGAGUGCGGACCUUGCUGCGCUUGGAGACAGAGAGAAAGGAGAAGAAUUUAUUUUCGGAGUCUGGGGGAGCCCAAGGACAGCGGGGCGUGGGACUGGCCUUGGCAAGUGCUGCCCUUGGAAGGUACUCCUUUCCUUCUGAAGACCAGCUCACCAUGCUGCCCAGGCCACAGAGCAACGUGAGAUGACCAUCCUAAAGGUCAAGUUUAUGUCUUCUCCAUACAAGAGACCUCCUGGGAUGAGCUAAAGUAUCUCCAUCCAAUUCCACGUCCUGGGACCUGUCGGCUCCAUUUGCCCUCACUGAAAUCCAGCUUUUGACACCAGGAAAAACAGGGAAGUUAACAGUU